Molecule: ribosomal RNA, 265 nt
Filed under: uncultured bacterium
Lineage: Bacteria
Description: partial 16S ribosomal RNA
Rfam family: Bacterial small subunit ribosomal RNA
Source: RNAcentral
GAUCAUGGCUCAGGAUGAACGCUGGCGGCGUGCUUAACACAUGCAAGUCGAACGGGAAUUACUUUAUUGAAACUUCGGUCGAUUUAAUUUAAUUCUAGUGGCGGACGGGUGAGUAACGCGUGGGUAACCUGCCUCAUACAGGGGGAUAACAGUUAGAAAUGACUGCUAAUACCGCAUAAGACCACGGUACCGCAUGGUACAGUGGUAAAAACUCCGGUGGUAUGAGAUGGACCCGCGUCUGAUUAGGUAGUUGGUGGGGUAACGG